Molecule: non-coding RNA, 217 nt
Organism: Gasterosteus aculeatus aculeatus (three-spined stickleback)
Lineage: Eukaryota; Metazoa; Chordata; Actinopteri; Perciformes; Gasterosteidae
Source: RefSeq, a predicted model, not a curated record
UCACCUUUAGCAACAUCUGGCUGGAGAUUUAUCAAACUGUUGCACUGAAAUAUAAAGGUCAUAAUCCUUCACUUUAAUUCCCACUGAUUUGUAGAUUCCGCUAUCUUGAUGGGAGUUUACACUAAUAUUACAACCAACAACAAUAAAGCGGCAGAAUUUUCUUACAGCUCCAUGUUUGAUUUUCUUUCAUUUCCAAUAAAUUUAUCCUGUACAAAUA